This 70-nucleotide transfer RNA is filed under the name Amolops wuyiensis (Sanchiang sucker frog). Its description in RNAcentral is "tRNA-Thr". It matches the Rfam family "tRNA". From Rfam's summary of the family: Transfer RNA (tRNA) molecules are approximately 80 nucleotides in length. Their secondary structure includes four short double-helical elements and three loops (D, anti-codon, and T loops). Further hydrogen bonds mediate the characteristic L-shaped molecular structure. tRNAs have two regions of fundamental functional importance: the anti-codon, which is responsible for specific mRNA codon recognition, and the 3' end, to which the tRNAs corresponding amino acid is attached (by aminoacyl-tRNA synthetases). tRNAs cope with the degeneracy of the genetic code in two manners: having more than one tRNA (with a specific anti-codon) for a particular amino acid; and 'wobble' base-pairing, i.e. permitting non-standard base-pairing at the 3rd anti-codon position. Lineage: Eukaryota; Metazoa; Chordata; Amphibia; Anura; Ranidae. The record is from RNAcentral.
GCUCUGAUAGCUUAAAUUAAAGCACCGGUCUUGUAAGCCGAAGAUUGUAGAUUAAACCCUACUCAGGACA